This 265-nucleotide long non-coding RNA is filed under the name Drosophila guanche. The record is from RNAcentral. Lineage: Eukaryota; Metazoa; Arthropoda; Insecta; Diptera; Drosophilidae.
AGCCUGAUCUUCGUUGCAGUUGGCACAUUUUGCUAGUUGCUCUUUAUCUUUUGGGCAAACGUUGCUGGGAUGGUUAAGAGAGCAUUUCACACAUCUGUGAGUUUUGGCACAAUAUGACUUUGUGUGUCCAAAUUCCUGGCACCGAUAACACUGAACGAUUUCUUUGGUUUUACGGGGUGGUUCUAUAUUAACAACUGCGUUACCAAUGAGUUUAACUUUGUAUAUAUCUAAGUUCUUAUUGUUGGGCUCAAUGUCUAAGUAGAAC